Herpailurus yagouaroundi (jaguarundi) is the source of this 1948-nucleotide long non-coding RNA. RefSeq lists it as uncharacterized. The transcript is spliced from 3 exons. The record is from RefSeq and is a predicted model, not a curated record. NCBI's taxonomy places the organism in Eukaryota, Metazoa, Chordata, Mammalia, Carnivora, Felidae.
GUCUGUAUUAACUCCCAUCCCAGCGAUAUUAUGACCAUAUAUCCUGGACCUAGAUGUUCCCAUUCGGGGAAGAAAGAGGAACACAAUAAAUUUUGCAAUAUUAAUUGUGAAUCUGGCAGAUAGCUUAUACCUAAUAUUUUUGUUUUUGCUUCUGUUUCUAAGAAAUCUCCCCGAUGCCGAGUACUAGCUGAGAAGGAUGUGGUAUGCGUGCCUUAGCUCAGGCCCUUUGGCUACGCAUUCUUGGAACUCGCAGCGUUUGGAGCUUCAGGACGUCGUUGGCUCCUUCCAUUCUGUUCCCCUCCCUUGACCAAGUGACUGGUUGGAAGCCAUUUGCUUUUCUAAGAGACGGAGCUGGGAUAGAGUGUCUCUUGCCUUCCAGAAACGAGAACUCAUGUUUUUUGGAGAUGGAGAGACACGCCCAUUAUAAAGGUGGGAAAGGGUGAGGAUUCUAGAGUCGGGCGGCCCUAGGUGUGAAUCUUGGCUCUGUCAGUGUGUGAGGCAGGGGCAUGUUGAGCCCUAAGUUUCUCCUUCAUGCUGUAAAAACAGUAAUGAUACCACAAGAGAGGGGUUGGGAGAAUUAAAUUGGAUGAUGCGGGUCGAAUAGUUUGCUGUGGUCCCUGGCACACGAAACGUUCUCCGACAUCUGUCGGAAGUAACAACGAAAACAAAACCAAGAAGCAAACUAACUCCCCUAAACUGGGUUCCUGGUUCUUUGGGCCAGUGGGACCAGAGUUGUUACUGGUUAAAUAUCUUCCUCCUGCACAGCCUGUCGUGUGCCCUUAUCUUCCUGGGGGAGAACGUACAUGCUUAUUUCCUCUGAGAGAGAAACACAGGAGCCCUGUUCACUCCCCAUCGGGCUUUGGGCAGAGAGAGACAGAUGUGGUAGGCUGGUGGCUAGAGAUGGGGGCAGUGAGGGAGGGCCCCGAUGAGCAGUCCCCAGGAGCAAGAGGGGUCUGACAGGUCCAGCUGGCCCAGCAGGACCAACUGUGUGGGACAGCGGACCCCCACUCUGGAACCCAGCCUGUGCCCGCAGGAGGAACAGCAGGGGUGACCCAGGGUGGGAGUGAUCUCCACCAGCAGGGACCCUGCCCCCGAGAUGGACGCAGGUCAAAUGGCGUUUGAGGAACCGAAGAACGUUGGGAGGGAAUUAUAGAAGCCUCUGAUCAGGAGAGUGGAGGCCCAGAGAGAUGUGAAUCACUCACUGCAAGUCACAGGCAUCAGCUCGAAGCCUAGACGGAAAACGAACCUCAUCGAUUUCAAAGUCUGUCCUGUCCAUGUCACUGACCCAGCUAAACUUUACGGGACUACAUUUUCCCCUACACUUCUCUCCCUGACUUCAGCUCUCUGGCGAUGGGCUGUGUGUGAGUGUCUGGAAAUCGAUGUAUUUUAAGGAAUCGGUUCGAGUGAUGACGGAGGCUUGACAACUUUGGAAUCUGCAGGCAGGCCAACAGGCUGGGAGAAGACCCAGGGAGAAGCUAAUGUUGCAGCUGGAGCUUGAAGGCAGUCUGGAGGCAGAGAUUCCUUUUCCUUGGGGGAAUCUCAGCUUUUUUUUUUUUUUUUUUUUUUUUUUUUUCUUUAAGACCUUCAACUGAUUGGGUGAGGCCCACCCACACUAUAAAGGGUAAUCUGCGUUACUCAAUGUCUGGUGAUUUAAAUGCUAAUCUCAGCUAAAAAGUACCUUCCUAGUGAUAUCUAGACUGGUGUUUGACCAAAUAUCUGGGUACUGUGACCUCGCUGAGUUGACAUACGGCAUUAGCCAUCACGUGGGGCUAAUAAGAUCUAUCUCCUAAGAUUGAAGGGGGGUAUCCGUGAGCUGAUGUAGAAAAAGAGCUUGGGCACAGGUAAGUUCCGGCUACGUAUUACCCGUUGUUCUUCCCGGAACUGGACGUGCUGUCUCUGGCUUUGGCUCAGACGGGUCAUUUCUGUCCGUGGACCAGCCCUCUGGUAG